AUGAGUGUAUUCAAAGUUCCUCUUGGACUCUGUGAAGAUCUGAAUCGCAUGGUUAGGAAUUACUAUUGGGGAGCGGAGAAAGGUAAAAGGAAAGCUCAUUGGCAUGCUUGGCAUAAGAUGAAUCAGUCAAAAUCUCAAGGAGGUCUUAGUUUAAGAGACUUUCGAAUCUUUAAUUAAGCCUUAUUGGCAAGAAAAGCUUGGCGCCUUCUAAUCCAUCCUGACAGUCUUUGUGCAAGAUUGCUAAAAGCUAAGUACUACCCUAAUGGUAGGCUCGAGGACAAUGUUUUCAUGGGUAACCCGUCCUCAACAUGGCAAUCUGUUUGUCAUGGUCUCGAGUUGUUAAAAAAUGGUUUCAUUUGGAGGAUAGCUAAUGGACUGAAGGUCAGGAUUUGGCAUGACCGUUGGCUAGUCCGGGGCACCGCGGGUUCCAUGCUUUCAAGCAAAGGAAGAUGCCGCUACAAAUGGGUGUCUGCACUUCUCGAUCAUAAUGGCAGCCGAGAUGUGUCGCGGUUAUAUCAAUAUGUCCUGUCGGUGGACGUUCAGACUAUUUGCAAGAUACAGUCUUCACCUCACCUUGAUAAGGAGUUUUUGCCCUGGACUCCGGAAAGGAAUGGGGUACUUACAGUGCGGAGUGCCUACUAGCUAGCAACGGAUGAGGUUCUGAGUACUUUAGUUGCAUCCACUAGUGGUUCACCCGAUGGUUGUAGAGAUGUUUGGAAACUUAUCUGGUCAAGUCCGGCACCACCGAAGGUUCUCUGCUUUGCUUGGCGCAUCGCUAUAGACUCUCUAGCCACUUGGCGAAACAAAGAACGCAGAAAAUCUGGAGGUUCGUGGUCUUUGCCGGAUCUGUAG
Molecule: ribosomal RNA, 852 nt
Filed under: Triticum aestivum (bread wheat)
Lineage: Eukaryota; Viridiplantae; Streptophyta; Magnoliopsida; Poales; Poaceae
Description: partial small subunit ribosomal RNA
Source: RNAcentral